RNAcentral lists this long non-coding RNA (1245 nucleotides) under Triticum aestivum (bread wheat). RNAcentral describes it as "long non-coding RNA (TAES_LNC009491)". Lineage: Eukaryota; Viridiplantae; Streptophyta; Magnoliopsida; Poales; Poaceae. The record is from RNAcentral.
UUCUUUCAACGAUGGAUGGUCUCGCGUAAAGAAAAGGGCGCCUGGCGCUGAUAGGCGCCGGCGCGCCGGCCCAAAUUUGGGCCGGUCGGCUGCCAAGCGUCCGAUACAUCCUUUUUCAACCGUUUGAUUACUUUGUUUCAAAAGUCAAACACGCACAGGAAACACAAAAAAAAGGGCAGCGUGCGCACAUGCCAGAUCCCAUGCGCUCGCCGGCUCCCCGCGCUUGUCCUUGUCUUCCCAUGCUUGGUUGCCACCGCGCCACCGCGCCCGUCACCCUCGCUCGCCUGCCGUGCCCGGCACUUGCCUCGGCUACCUCCGCUCGCCAUGAUUGCGGCAGAGCUUGAACAGAGGAGGGUUCCAGCGCCCUCUAGCCAUGGUUGCCGCAUCCCAGGGUCCCGUCUCCGGCUCACCGCCGACAUCGACUUGCACCACCAUGUCUAGCCAAAAAAGCAACAAAAACCUCCAGUAUUGGGUUGAAGUAAAAGGAUUUGCCGGUUCCAACAAAAAAUAAUGAUGGUUCCAGCAAAAAUCUCGGAAGCAAAAAAACUUCAGUAGUCGAUUUGUAGCAAACAAAUUAGCUAGUUCCAGCAAAAAGAAACGCUGGUUCCAAAAAAAAAAAUCAUGUCACUUGGAGCAAUUUUGUAGCUGGUUCCAGCAAAUUACAUGACGCCGUGAUGCAUGUCAUGUAAUGGACGUAGCAAUUGAGAACAUUGGUUGUAGCAAAAACUCAGAUGGUGGUAGCAAAAAAAUUGAUUGGUUCCAGCAAAAAUCGAAGAUGGUGGUAGCGAAAAUUAAUGUGAUUGUAGCAAACAAAUCCCAGCAACAAAAACUACAGUAGUCGUCUAGAAGCAAAAAGAACAUACGGUUCCAGCAAAACAGAGUGCGAUUCCAGCAGAAAAAUUACCAAAUCCAGCACCUCAAAUUGAUGUGGUUGUAGCUUUUUCCCUGGCAGGUUCCAGCACCUCCCACUGUGGACGCAACUUUUUCAUGGCCGGUUGCAACUUCUUCAACAGUUGAGGGAAAAAAGAGGGCUAAGUGUGGGUGACGAAGGGGAUGGAGUUCAUCCAUGACUGCAGGAAUGAGAAGGGGGUGGAGUUUGUCCAUGGACGCAGCACUCCGCUUGCAUGGCUCCGCGCCCUCAACUGUAGUCGCCGGGAUGUCGAGGAUUCAGAGAGGCGGAGAGAGAGAACGGCGACAGGGGAAGGAACUGGAUAGAUCUCGCGUGGGGUGGGGAUAAGAUUUCUG